Molecule: ribosomal RNA, 255 nt
Filed under: uncultured bacterium
Lineage: Bacteria
Description: partial 16S ribosomal RNA
Rfam family: Bacterial small subunit ribosomal RNA
Source: RNAcentral
UACGUAGGGUGCAAGCGUUGUCCGGAAUUAUUGGGCGUAAAGAGCUCGUAGGCGGUCUGUCGCGUCUGCUGUGAAAACUCGGGGCUUAACCCCGGGCCUGCAGUGGGUACGGGCAGACUAGAGUGCGGUAGGGGAGACUGGAAUUCCUGGUGUAGCGGUGAAAUGCGCAGAUAUCAGGAGGAACAGCCGGUGGCGAAGGCGGGUCGCUGGGCCGUAACUGACGCUGAGGAGCGAAAGCGUGGGGGAGCGAACAGG